GAGAGUUUGAUCCUGGCUCAGAUUGAACGCUGGCGGCAGGCCUAACACAUGCAAGUCGAGCGGUAGAGAGAAGCUUGCUUCUCUUGAGAGCGGCGGACGGGUGAGUAAUGCCUAGGAAUCUGCCUGGUAGUGGGGGAUAACGUUCGGAAACGGACGCUAAUACCGCAUACGUCCUACGGGAGAAAGCAGGGGACCUUCGGGCCUUGCGCUAUCAGAUGAGCCUAGGUCGGAUUAGCUAGUUGGUGGGGUAAUGGCUCACCAAGGCGACGAUCCGUAACUGGUCUGAGAGGAUGAUCAGUCACACUGGAACUGAGACACGGUCCAGACUCCUACGGGAGGCAGCAGUGGGGAAUAUUGGACAAUGGGCGAAAGCCUGAUCCAGCCAUGCCGCGUGUGUGAAGAAGGUCUUCGGAUUGUAAAGCACUUUAAGUUGGGAGGAAGGGCAGUAAAUUAAUACUUUACUGUUUUGACGUUACCGACAGAAUAAGCACCGGCUAACUCUGUGCCAGCAGCCGCGGUAAUACAGAGGGUGCAAGCGUUAAUCGGAAUUACUGGGCGUAAAGCGCGCGUAGGUGGUUAGUUAAGUUGGAUGUGAAAUCCCCGGGCUCAACCUGGGAACUGCAUUCAAAACUGACUGACUAGAGUAUGGUAGAGGGUGGUGGAAUUUCCUGUGUAGCGGUGAAAUGCGUAGAUAUAGGAAGGAACACCAGUGGCGAAGGCGACCACCUGGACUGAUACUGACACUGAGGUGCGAAAGCGUGGGGAGCAAACAGGAUUAGAUACCCUGGUAGUCCACGCCGUAAACGAUGUCAACUAGCCGUUGGGAGCCUUGAGCUCUUAGUGGCGCAGCUNACGCAUUAAGUUGACCGCCUGGGGGAGUACGGCCGCAAGGUUAAAACUCAAUUGAAUUGACGGGGGCCCGCACAAGCCGGUGGAGCAUGUGGUUUAAUUCGAAGCACCGCGAAGAACCUUACCAGGCCUUGACAUCCAAUGAACUUUNCUANAAAUANAUUGGUGCCNUCGGGAACNUUGAAAC
RNAcentral lists this ribosomal RNA (1036 nucleotides) under uncultured bacterium. RNAcentral's name for it is "bacterial SSU rRNA". It matches the Rfam family "Bacterial small subunit ribosomal RNA", at positions 8 to 1035 of the family's 1533-position model. The record is from RNAcentral.